RNAcentral lists this ribosomal RNA (559 nucleotides) under Triticum aestivum (bread wheat). Its description in RNAcentral is "partial small subunit ribosomal RNA". The record is from RNAcentral. Lineage: Eukaryota; Viridiplantae; Streptophyta; Magnoliopsida; Poales; Poaceae.
CUAACCACACCAAGGAGAUGCGGAUCCUGUGGUCUUAUAGCUUGGUACUUGCUCCUUUCCGUACUCUAUUUAUAACCGAUCAUUAACACUUCGGGGUUAAGAACUGACUUUCCCUGUGGUUUCCGGAGACGGGAGGGAGAGAUAGAUAGGUUCUCUACCUUCCCGUCUCGAAAAAAAAACCAAAAAAGUAGAAAAGUAGUUUCUCAACUUGUUACUUCUAUCUACCGUUCACGGACUAGCUAAACUAGUCCGGCACAUCCUUGUUCCAAGUUUAGCAAGCAAGCAAUCCUACGGAGUCGACGUAUGUAGUGACGUGAAGGUGAACUGUGGAUAAAUUUGCCGAGCAGAGCGGCGAUGGAAUAGGAUAAAGGUAUGAAGACAGCGAGGUAGGGGCAUACCCACCUCUUGGGCAGCGACAGAGCCGACACUAUGGCCUCCGAGAUCCCUUCAGCCUCCUCUCUCGUGAGUAGAACCCCACCCGAAUGAUGAAUAUACGAAAGUCGUCAAUAGGAGAGGCGUGAACCGAUGGGUCGCAAAUGGCAUCCGUGCUAUUGACCCU